RNAcentral lists this ribosomal RNA (466 nucleotides) under uncultured bacterium. Its description in RNAcentral is "partial 16S ribosomal RNA". It matches the Rfam family "Bacterial small subunit ribosomal RNA", at positions 28 to 507 of the family's 1533-position model. The record is from RNAcentral.
GAUGAACGCUGGCGGCGUGCUUAACACAUGCAAGUCGAACGAUGAAGCCCAGCUUGCUGGGUGGAUUAGUGGCGAACGGGUGAGUAACACGUGAGUAACCUGCCCUUAACUCUGGGAUAAGCCUGGGAAACUGGGUCUAAUACCGGAUAGGAGCGCCUACCGCAUGGUGGGUGUUGGAAAGAUUUAUCGGUUUUGGCUGGACUCGGGGCCUAUCAGCUUGUUGGUGAGGUAAUGGCUCACCAAGGCGACGACGGGUAGCCGGCCUGAGAGCGUGACCGGCCACCAGGGGACUGAGAGAGGGCCCAGACUCCUACGGGAGGCAGCAGUGGGGAAUAUUGCACAAUGGGCGAGAGCCUGAUGCAGCGACGCCGCGUGUGGGAUGACGGCCUUCGGGUUGUAAACCUCUUUCAGUAGGGAAGAAGCGAAAGUGACGGUACCUGCAGAAGAAGCACCGGCUAACUACGUG